UAAUACGUAGGGGGCAAGCGUUGUCCGGAAUCAUUGGGCGUAAAGAGCGUGUAGGCGGCCCGAUAAGUCUGCCGUGAAAGUCCAGGGCUCAACCCUGGAAUGCCGGUGGAAACUGUCGGGCUGGAGUCCGGAAGAGGCGAGUGGAAUUCCUGGUGUAGCGGUGAAAUGCGCAGAUAUCAGGAGGAACACCGAUGGCGAAGGCAGCUCGCUGGGACGGUACUGACGCUGAGACGCGAAAGCGUGGGGAGCAAACAGGA
RNAcentral lists this ribosomal RNA (257 nucleotides) under uncultured prokaryote. Its description in RNAcentral is "partial 16S ribosomal RNA". It matches the Rfam family "Bacterial small subunit ribosomal RNA", at positions 521 to 777 of the family's 1533-position model. The record is from RNAcentral.